AUCAUAGACUUCUUGUGGGAUUCAAUGAGUUAAUACAUCUAACUCUGGUUAGUUUCUCCUUUCUUCCUCUUCCUUUUUGUUAACAUUGAGCCUCUUUCAUGUUGAAAUUAGGUAUCAACAUAGUAGUUGCUACUGUUGUGGGUACUAGCCACAUAUUUUACAGGGUGGGUGUUAUGGGGUUUCUUCAUUUCUAGUUUGUUAUUUGAAAAUUUUGCAGUUCUAAAUCAGCAGACAGAAUGUUUGAUGGUGAUUGUUUUUCUGUUUUCAAGUUUAAAGAUAUUUGGAGAUAUUGGAUAUUACUUAAAUCAUUUCCCAUGUCCCCAUGGAACUAAUAGUCACAAGUCAGAGCCAUAGAAAGGUAAAUUAUUAGAAUGGCAAGACAUUCUAAAUUAUAUGGUCUAAAAUACCUCUCCUGUCCCACCACUUUUUGGCUAAACUGCUGACCUAAUAAGUUCAGGGCAGAUAAGUUUCUUGAAUAUUAUUAAUUCAGCAUUUAAAAUUUAUUAUAAAAGGAUUCCUUAACAUGUCUGUAGCCAGUAGAAUUUUUAAUUGAGUAAUUUGGGUAUUUUUCACUAACCUCUCCAAAAAUCAUAUUUACCAAAAUAAUAUUGCCUUUUAUUAUGUAGGAGGAAGAUGUUUUUGAUAGUACAGUUUCACAAUGGGACAAAAUAAAAUUAAUGUUGUCUAGAUCAUAUGUGAAUUUAUUUUAGAGAUCUACCAAGUUUCUCCUCCUAUGCGUUUGUAUCUAUCACUUGGCCACCAAAAGAAUUUCUUUUAUUACCCACUAAACCACUCAGUUUCUGAUAAUUGUCCUGUUUAAAGAGUCUCAGACAUCCAAUUACCUCUGUCAACUUGGAUUAUCUCAGACUUCAACAAGCAAGAAAGGUCAUGACAUAAAAACUGUGGUUGUAGCUCAGUGGUAGAGUGCUUGCCUAGCACGUGUGAGGCACUGGGUUUGAUUCUCAGCACUGCAUAUAAAUAAAGAAAGAAAGAAAGAAAGAAAAGAAAAACUUGUGUUUAGCUCUUACAAUGUUUUUUAAAAAUUCCAUUGUUUGGAAUUAUUACUGAUACAUCUUUAUGAGAUAAUUUAAAUAUCCUGUGUAGAAGUAAUUUACAGUUGGGUAUGAUGACUUAUGCUUUUAAUCCCAGUAGCUGGGGAGGCUGAG
This 1166-nucleotide long non-coding RNA is filed under the name Marmota monax (woodchuck). The stretch from base 903 to 973 matches the Rfam family "tRNA". The record is from RNAcentral. Lineage: Eukaryota; Metazoa; Chordata; Mammalia; Rodentia; Sciuridae.